GUUAGUACACUAGCACCUUAGUUCCAGUUACUAUUUUAACAAGUACCUUAGCUCUAGUAUACUAACACAAACGCUGUUUUUAUUUAUAUAGUGUGUUUAGUCAAAACCUACUAAAUAUUUUUAUUUUCCAUAAAAGAAAACUUUAAUACACUUUUCAACUUUACGCGUUCAAUGUGUUUCCAUAAGCAUCCAUUCUUAUCUUCCGUAAAACUUAGAUUUUUUCUAAAAAAUUUUUUCUAAAAAAAUUUUUCUAAAAAAAUUUUUCUCAUCGUUUAUACCAUUAGGUAACUUUACUUUAUCACGUUUUUAAUUAGAGCUAAAUAACCCAGUAAAGUAAAGCAAAUUUAAACUAAGAGGCCGUUACUUUAAGUAAAUUCCAUAAGCUUUAGGCGAGGGUAUAAACCCUUUAUCGUUACUCAUGUCAGCAUUAUCACUUGGGUAAUCUAAUCUUAAGUCUUAAAAAGAAAAAAUCUGAGAUAUGCCCAAUGUUCCGCUACCCCAUAUAUAUUCUAUGUAACUUGUACAUAUAAAUAUUUAUGGACAAGGUCUCGGUAUAUUAUUUAGAUCCGCUAAAUCUUAGGUGCAUCUAACAAUACAUACAAAAUUGUAUAAAACCAGUGCUCUGUUACGAGGUCUUUAAAAAAUGGCCGCUCCUAAGCCCAUUUCCUGGUUGGCUUGGAUAAACACUACCUUAUUUUCACUUAACAAUAAUUUGGAA
Molecule: ribosomal RNA, 718 nt
Filed under: Rhizocarpon geographicum
Lineage: Eukaryota; Fungi; Ascomycota; Lecanoromycetes; Rhizocarpales; Rhizocarpaceae
Description: partial large subunit ribosomal RNA
Source: RNAcentral